Molecule: long non-coding RNA, 817 nt
Organism: Siniperca chuatsi (mandarin fish)
Lineage: Eukaryota; Metazoa; Chordata; Actinopteri; Centrarchiformes; Sinipercidae
Exons: 4
Source: RefSeq, a predicted model, not a curated record
CUCUUCCCUCCUGGCUUCGCCUCCAGCACGCAGCAGACGGCUGCUUGCUGUCCUCUGCCGCAUAAUCAGCUUGGAGCAGAAACACGCAGCAGAACCAAACUCUCUGAUCUACAGCAGCGCUGUGAGGGCCUGCUAGAUAUCCGCAACCAAGUUUAGUUAGCGCCAGCGGCUGCGACACAAAGUCUGUCAGCUAACUUUAACAAGCAACAAGAGCAACAAAAGUAGCUUAGCUGAGCUAACUGUAAGGAGAACAAUAGAUGGAGCGACCAGCUUCCUCCGAUCUGCACACGGGGACACUGACUGCACAGCAAAAGACUGCAUCGAACCUCAAUUAUUCCCCACCUGGCCCAUCCACAAUAGACGAUGAAGGAGCAGCACGCCAGUGCAACCUCUUUUUCCCUUCCACGGACUGGUAAUGUAGCAGCUGGUUUCCCUCCAAAUCCGACCUGCGUGGAGGAUCCUACGUUCACAACACAGAGGCCACUAAAGACUCCCGCUGCACAGGCAUGGUCUUAUUUGAUUACCUUAACUAAGUGUGUGAACAAGAUCCUGCAGGUGAUAUAAUACACUUCACUGUUGACUGCAGAGGACGGUAGCAGUUGGUAGUGGUGUUUUCCCUUCUGUUGCCUGAUGAGUGCUGUGAUUGAAUUCCCAGCACAGCGUCCCUACACCUGGCCGCCGGUCUGCUGAAACACCUGCGCGGCUGCGCAGAGGAGCCACUCAUUCACCAAGUCAUUCGUAAUUAAAUGCAUCAAAUAAAUGCGGUGGAGUGAAAAGCCCGAUAUUUCCUUCUGAAAUGUAGUGGAGCAGAAGUAUU